RNAcentral lists this ribosomal RNA (604 nucleotides) under uncultured bacterium. RNAcentral's name for it is "bacterial SSU rRNA". It matches the Rfam family "Bacterial small subunit ribosomal RNA", at positions 780 to 1381 of the family's 1533-position model. The record is from RNAcentral.
AGAUACCCUGGUAGUCCACGCCGUAAACGGUGGACGCUGGAUGUGGGGCCCAUUCCACGGGUUCCGUGUCGGAGCUAACGCGUUAAGCGUCCCGCCUGGGGAGUACGGCCGCAAGGCUAAAACUCAAAGAAAUUGACGGGGGCCCGCACAAGCGGCGGAGCAUGCGGAUUAAUUCGAUGCAACGCGAAGAACCUUACCUGGGCUUGACAUGUGCCUGUCGACUGCAGAGAUGUGGUUUCCCUUCGGGGCAGGUUCACAGGUGGUGCAUGGUCGUCGUCAGCUCGUGUCGUGAGAUGUUGGGUUAAGUCCCGCAACGAGCGCAACCCUCGCCCUGUGUUGCCAGCGGGUUAUGCCGGGAACUCACGGGGGACCGCCGGGGUUAACUCGGAGGAAGGUGGGGAUGACGUCAGAUCAUCAUGCCCCUUACGUCCAGGGCUUCACGCAUGCUACAAUGGCCGGUACAACGGGAUGCGACAUGGUGACAUGGAGCGGAUCCCUUAAAACCGGUCUCAGUUCGGAUCGUAGUCUGCAACUCGACUACGUGAAGGCGGAGUCGCUAGUAAUCGCGAAUCAGCAACGUCGCGGUGAAUGCGUUCCCGGGCCU